AACAUGCCCGCGUUAGGGAUUGCAGUGAAAAGCCCACAGGGCUCCCGAUGGUAAUCGGGUGCACGAGGACUUGUAGCGGAAAGCCCGACCCUGU
RNAcentral lists this non-coding RNA (94 nucleotides) under Algibacter lectus. The record is from RNAcentral. Lineage: Bacteria; Pseudomonadati; Bacteroidota; Flavobacteriia; Flavobacteriales; Flavobacteriaceae.